This 1438-nucleotide long non-coding RNA is filed under the name Octopus vulgaris (common octopus). Lineage: Eukaryota; Metazoa; Mollusca; Cephalopoda; Octopoda; Octopodidae. The record is from RNAcentral.
CACACACACACACACACACACACAUGCGAACAUGGUUGUAGAUAUAAGUAUUAAAAAAUGAGAGUGGAGCACGUUUAUUGCUUCGGUAAUUUGAAUGAUUCAACCGAAAAUGAGAUCAGAGAAAAAACACUCAAAAUGGCCAUUGGUACCUAUGACAAAAGCUAAUUCAUACACACACGCACACAUACAUACACACAUACAUACAUACAUACAUACAUACUUACAUACAUACAUACAUACAUACAUACAUACAUACUUACAUACAUAGGUAAAUACAUACGUUUAUGCAUGUUUUACAUACAUAAGCACGCACGCACGUACAACUGCGCACCACCUGUCUUCGUCUUUUGUUGUUUUUUUUUUGUGAAUUCUCCCCCUAUAUUUAUGCAUACAUAUUUAUACAUAUUCCUUUAUUCUUUUGUUUCAGCCAUUUGACUGGAGCCAAGCUGGAGCACCGCCUUUAGUCGAGGAAAUCUUAUUCUUUGUAAGCCUAGUAGUUAUUCUAUCGGUCUCUUAUGCCGAACCGCUACGUUACGGGGACGUAAACACGCCAGCAUCAGUUGUCAAGCGAUGUUAGGUGAGGGGGGGGGCGCAGAUACACAAACACACACCAACACACUUAUAUACGACAGGCUUCUUUCAGUUUCCGUUUCCACACACAAGCAUUUGACCGGCCCGUACUAUAGUAGAAGACACUUUCCCAAGGUGCUACGCAGUGGGACUGAACUCGGAGCCAUGUGGUUGGUAAGCAAGCUACAUAUCACACAGCCCAUCCUGCGCCUAUAUGUAUAUAUGCAUGUGUAUAAUUGCACACACAUUCACAAGUAAGUAUACAUACAUACGCAUAAACACACACACACACACUCACACACACAUAUAUAUAUAGACACACACACACACACACACACACACACACAUAUAUAUAUAUAUAUAUAUAUAUAUAUACACACACACGCAUAUGUAUGUAUUACGUUCAUGCAUUUGUUUUGCAAGAUUCUUGAUUUACAAACCUGUGUAGAAAUAUUGUUGUGUUUAGGGACAGUCAUUUUACCAAUAAACACGCGUACAAUUUAAUGGAUCUUCACUUUAGCUUCUUCUUUUUCCUCUUCUUCUUCUUCUUCUUCUUCUUCUUCUUCUUCUUCUUCUUCUUCUUAUUAUUAUUAUUAUUAUUAUUAUUAUUAUUAUUAUUAUUAUUAUUAUUAUUAUUAUUAUUAUUUUAUCUGUCUGAGAUUUUAUCAUUUUUACUUUAUUUGUCAUACCACAGAAACACAAGAUGGAAUAUAGAGGAGAGGACCAGAGAAAAGUGAAGAGAUGAAGAAAGGAUAACAAUUGAAGAGAUGACAAAAUGUGAGACGAAAGACAAUCAAACUGAAAGCGGUAAUACAAUGCUAAAGGGAAGAUAAAAAAAAACUGUGCGUGUGCUCAUUGGGAAAAUGAC